This 469-nucleotide ribosomal RNA is filed under the name Lactobacillus gasseri. Its description in RNAcentral is "bacterial SSU rRNA". It matches the Rfam family "Bacterial small subunit ribosomal RNA", at positions 371 to 832 of the family's 1533-position model. The record is from RNAcentral. Lineage: Bacteria; Bacillati; Bacillota; Bacilli; Lactobacillales; Lactobacillaceae.
AUGGACGCAAGUCUGAUGGAGCAACGCCGCGUGAGUGAAGAAGGGUUUCGGCUCGUAAAGCUCUGUUGGUAGUGAAGAAAGAUAGAGGCAGUAACUGGCCUUUAUUUGACGGUAAUUACUUAGAAAGUCACGGCUAACUACGUGCCAGCAGCCGCGGUAAUACGUAGGUGGCAAGCGUUGUCCGGAUUUAUUGGGCGUAAAGCGAGUGCAGGCGGUUCAAUAAGUCUGAUGUGAAAGCCUUCGGCUCAACCGGAGAAUUGCACCAGAAACUGUUGAACUUGAGUGCAGAAGAGGAGAGUGGAACUCCAUGUGUAGCGGUGGAAUGCGUAGAUAUAUGGAAGAACACCAGUGGCGAAGGCGGCUCUCUGGUCUGCAACUGACGCUGAGGCUCGAAAGCAUGGGUGGCGAACAGGAUUAGAUACCCUGGUAGUCCAUGCCGUAAACGAUGAGUGCUAAGUGUUGGGAGGUU